GGCCGGGGACAGAAGGCUCUGGGAGCGUGCUCCAAGCUUGUCCAUCGCCCAACGCGCGACCUGCAACUCGCAUCCCGCGGCCCAGCGAGUGGCACGCGCGCGAAGGCAGCUGUGGAGACCUCUGAAUGCUCCCUGUGAACUCUUAUGUGGCCUGGCGAGGUCACCUACACCAAGUGGAUACGACCACCCCGGGACCUGAUGGCGAGCUCGGGUCCCACCUGGCUCUGUGCGGUAACCAAGCAGCAAGGCCCGCAAGGUUCUAGAAGUUACCAGAGAACUAUGCUGCAUAAACGCAUAGGUUUUCUGGCUUUGAUAUCCUGACAGCAUUCGAUGUUAGGACAGGGGUUCACUUCCGAAAAACCACUGAUAACAUAUUUAUUUGGGCACAAGGAUGUCUGGAGGAAGUAAAAAGCACAGAGUACUUAGAGUACUUGUGUCUCCCUUUCCUUUAGAACCCUGUCAAGGGAAGGGGCUGAUUCUUGCCACCUAGCCCCCCAAAAAACAAUACCAGGCCACACUCGAUACAAAGUGCUUGAUUAACUUCGCUGUUACCAGCAACCCCAGAAAACCACUAGUAUCUUAUAAAAUGAUAAGAGCAAAGCUAAGCAGUUAAAAACUCAGGUUGACUAAUAUAUUUUGAAUGUUCAAAUGCAUGCACUCAUAGCCAGCAGCACAAGCUCCAGCUCCUGCUCCGGCUCAUUCUUCUCUCUGUCUCCUACUUAUGGUUCCAGAUGGGGCUUCAGCUACUUCUUCAGCAUCAUGCCUGCCUGCCUUCCUGCCAUCGUGUUCCCCACCAUGAUGAAAACAGAUUUGUCUUUGAAACUUGUCCCCAAUUAAAUGCUUUACAAUAUAAGAAAUGCCUUGGUCAUGAUGUCUCUUGACAAUAAUAAAACAGUGACUGGGAGUGGCA
Long non-coding RNA from Mus musculus (house mouse), 910 nucleotides. RefSeq annotates it as RIKEN cDNA 4930598A11 gene. The record is from RefSeq and is a predicted model, not a curated record. NCBI's taxonomy places the organism in Eukaryota, Metazoa, Chordata, Mammalia, Rodentia, Muridae. The transcript has 2 exons.